AUGAGAAAGCAUGAAUUCUGCCUUAUCCCUUACUUCUAUAUUACCUUAUCCCUUACUUCUACAUUACCUUAUCCCUUACUUCUACAUUACCUUAUCCCUUACUUCUACAUUACCUUAUCCCUUACUUCUACAUUACCUUAUCCCUUACUUCUAUAUUACCUUAUCCCUUACUUCUAUAUUACCUUAUCCCUUACUUCUAUAUUACCUUAUCCCUUACUUCUAUAUUACCUUAUCCCUUACUUCUACAUUACCUUAUCCCUUACUUCUAUAUUACCUUAUCCCUUACUUCUAUAUUACCUUCUCCCUUACUUCUAUAUUACCUUCUCCCUUACUUCUACAUUACCUUCUCCCUUACUUCUAUAUUACCUUAUCCCUUACUUCUAUAUUACCUUAUCCCUUACUUCUAUAUUACCUUCUCCCUUACUUCUAUAUUACCUUCUCCCUUACUUCUAUAUUACCUUAUCCCUUACUUCUUCUAUAUUACCUUAUCCCUUACUUCUUCUAUAUUACCUUAUCCCUUACUUCUACAUUACCUUCUCCCUUACUUCUAUAUUACCUUAUCCCUUACUUCUUCUAUAUUACCUUCUCCCUUACUUCUAUAUUACCUUAUCCCUUACUUCUAUAUUACCUCAUCCCUUACUUCUUCUAUAUUACCUUAUCCCUUACUUCUUCUAUAUUACCUUAUCCCUUACUUCUAUAUUACCUUAUCCCUUACUUCUACAUUACCUUAUCCCUUACUUCUUCUAUAUUACCUUAUCCCUUACUUCUUCUAUAUUACCUUAUCCCUUACUUCUUCUAUAUUACCUUAUCCCUUACUUCUAUAUUACCUUAUCCCUUACUUCUACAUUACCUUAUCCCUUACUUCUUCUAUAUUACCUUAUCCCUUACUUCUUCUAUAUUACCUUAUCCCUUACUUCUUCUAUAUUACCUUAUCCCUUACUUCUUCUAUAUUACCUUAUCCCUUACUUCUUCUACAUUACCUUAUCCCUUACUUCUUCUACAUUACCUUAUCCCUUACUUCUUCUACAUUACCUUAUCCCUUACUUCUACAUUACCGUAUCCCUUACUUCUACAUUACCGUAUCCCUUACUUCUACAUUACCUUAUCCCUUACUUCUACAUUACCUUAUCCCUUACUUCUACAUUACCUUCUCCCUUACUUCUUCUAUAUUACCUUAUCCCUUACUUCUUCUAUAUUACCUUAUCCCUUACUUCUUCUAUAUUACCUUAUCCCUUACUUCUAUAUUACCUUCUCCCUUACUUCUACAUUACCUUCUCCCUUACUUCUAUAUUACCUUCUCCCUUACUUCUAUAUUACCUUCUCCCUUACUUCUAUAUUACCUUCUCCCUUACUUCUAUAUUACCUUCUCCCUUACUUCUAUAUUACCUUAUCCCUUACUUCUAUAUUACCUUAUCCCUUACUUCUUCUAUAUUACCUUAUCCCUUACUUCUACAUUACCUUCUCCCUUACUUCUACAUUACCUUAUCCCUUACUUCUUCUAUAUUACCUUAUCCCUUACUUCUUCUAUAUUACCUCAUCCCUUACUUCUAUAUUACCUCAUCCCUUACUUCUUCUAUAUUACCUUAUCCCUUACUUCUUCUAUAUUACCUUAUCCCUUACUUCUAUAUAUUACCUUAUCCCUUACUUCUACAUUACCUUAUCCCUUACUUCUUCUAUAUUACCUUAUCCCUUACUUCUACAUUACCUUCUCCCUUACUUCUACAUUACCUUAUCCCUUACUUCUUCUAUAUUACCUUCUCCCUUACUUCUAUAUUACCUUAUCCCUUACUUCUAUAUUACCUCAUCCCUUACUUCUUCUAUAUUACCUUAUCCCUUACUUCUUCUAUAUUACCUUAUCCCUUACUUCUAUAUUACCUUAUCCCUUACUUCUACAUUACCUUAUCCCUUACUUCUUCUAUAUUACCUUAUCCCUUACUUCUUCUAUAUUACCUUAUCCCUUACUUCUUCUAUAUUACCUUAUCCCUUACUUCUUCUAUAUUACCUUAUCCCUUACUUCUAUAUUACCUUAUCCCUUACUUCUACAUUACCUUAUCCCUUACUUCUUCUAUAUUACCUUAUCCCUUACUUCUUCUAUAUUACCUUAUCCCUUACUUCUUCUAUAUUACCUUAUCCCUUACUUCUUCUAUAUUACCUUAUCCCUUACUUCUUCUAUAUUACCUUAUCCCUUACUUCUUCUACAUUACCUUAUCCCUUACUUCUUCUACAUUACCUUAUCCCUUACUUCUACAUUACCUUAUCCCUUACUUCUACAUUACCGUAUCCCUUACUUCUACAUUACCUUAUCCCUUACUUCUACAUUACCUUAUCCCUUACUUCUAUAUUACCUUCUCCCUUACUUCUUCUAUAUUACCUUAUCCCUUACUUCUUCUAUAUUACCUUAUCCCUUACUUCUUCUAUAUUACCUUAUCCCUUACUUCUUCUAUAUUACCUUAUCCCUUACUUCUUCUACAUUACCUUAUCCCUUACUUCUUCUACAUUACCUUAUCCCUUACUUCUUCUGCAUUACCUUAUCCCUUACUUCUACAUUACCUUAUCCCUUACUUCUACAUUACCGUAUCCCUUACUUCUACAUUACCUUAUCCCUUACUUCUACAUUACCUUAUCCCUUACUUCUACAUUACCUUAUCCCUUACUUCUACAUUACCUUCUCCCUUACUUCUACAUUACCUUCUCCCUUACUUCUAUAUUACCGUAUCCCUUACUUCUAUAUUACCGUAUCCCUUACUUCUAUAUUACCUUCUCCCUUACUUCUAUAUUACCUUCUCCCUUACUUCUAUAUUACCUUCUCCCUUACUUCUAUAUUACCUUAUCCCUUACUUCUAUAUUACCUUAUCCCUUACUUCUUCUAUAUUACCUUAUCCCUUACUUCUACAUUACCUUCUCCCUUACUUCUACAUUACCUUAUCCCUUACUUCUUCUAUAUUACCUUCUCCCUUACUUCUAUAUUACCGUAUCCCUUACUUCUAUAUUACCGUAUCCCUUACUUCUAUAUUACCUUCUCCCUUACUUCUAUAUUACCUUCUCCCUUACUUCUAUAUUACCUUAUCCCUUACUUCUAUAUUACCUCAUCCCUUACUUCUUCUAUAUUACCUUAUCCCUUACUUCUUCUAUAUUACCUUAUCCCUUACUUCUAUAUUACCUUAUCCCUUACUUCUACAUUACCUUAUCCCUUACUUCUUCUAUAUUACCUUAUCCCUUACUUCUUCUAUAUUACCUUAUCCCUUACUUCUUCUAUAUUACCUUAUCCCUUACUUCUUCUAUAUUACCUUAUCCCUUACUUCUAUAUUACCUUAUCCCUUACUUCUACAUUACCUUAUCCCUUACUUCUUCUAUAUUACCUUAUCCCUUACUUCUUCUAUAUUACCUUAUCCCUUACUUCUUCUAUAUUACCUUAUCCCUUACUUCUUCUAUAUUACCUUAUCCCUUCUUCUAUAUUACCUUAUCCCUUACUUCUUCUACAUUACCUUAUCCCUUACUUCUUCUACAUUACCUUAUCCCUUACUUCUACAUUACCUUAUCCCUUACUUCUACAUUACCGUAUCCCUUACUUCUACAUUACCUUAUCCCUUACUUCUACAUUACCUUAUCCCUUACUUCUAUAUUACCUUCUCCCUUACUUCUUCUAUAUUACCUUAUCCCUUACUUCUUCUAUAUUACCUUAUCCCUUACUUCUUCUAUAUUACCUUAUCCCUUACUUCUUCUAUAUUACCUUAUCCCUUACUUCUUCUACAUUACCUUAUCCCUUACUUCUUCUACAUUACCUUAUCCCUUACUUCUUCUGCAUUACCUUAUCCCUUACUUCUACAUUACCUUAUCCCUUACUUCUACAUUACCGUAUCCCUUACUUCUACAUUACCUUAUCCCUUACUUCUACAUUACCUUAUCCCUUACUUCUACAUUACCUUAUCCCUUACUUCUACAUUACCUUCUCCCUUACUUCUACAUUACCUUCUCCCUUACUUCUAUAUUACCGUAUCCCUUACUUCUACAUUACCGUAUCCCUUACUUCUACAUUACCUUAUCCCUUACUUCUACAUUACCUUAUCCCUUACUUCUACAUUACCUUAUCCCUUACUUCUAUAUUACCUUAGUUUGGCCAGUAACCGAAAGGUUGCUAGAUCGAAUCCCGAGCUGACAAGGUAA
Molecule: long non-coding RNA, 4164 nt
Organism: Salmo trutta (river trout)
Lineage: Eukaryota; Metazoa; Chordata; Actinopteri; Salmoniformes; Salmonidae
Source: Ensembl